GAUGAACGCUGGCGGCGUGCCUAAUACAUGCAAGUCGAGCGAACAGACGAGGAGCUUGCUCCUCUGACGUUAGCGGCGGACGGGUGAGUAACACGUGGAUAACCUACCUAUAAGACUGGGAUAACUUCGGGAAACCGGAGCUAAUACCGGAUAAUAUAUUGAACCGCAUGGUUCAAUAGAGAAAGACGGUUUUGCUGUCACUUAUAGAUGGAUCCGCGCCGCAUUAGCUAGUUGGUAAGGUAACGGCUUACCAAGGCAACGAUGCGUAGCCGACCUGAGAGGGUGAUCGGCCACACUGGAACUGAGACACGGUCCAGACUCCUACGGGAGGCAGCAGUAGGGAAUCUUCCGCAAUGGGCGAAAGCCUGACGGAGCAACGCCGCGUGAGUGACGAAGGUCUUCGGAUCGUAAAACUCUGUUAUUAGGGAAGAACAAAUGUGUAAGUAACUAUGCACGUCUUGACGGUACCUAAUCAGAAAGCCACGGCUAACUACGUG
This 497-nucleotide ribosomal RNA is filed under the name uncultured bacterium. Its description in RNAcentral is "partial 16S ribosomal RNA". It matches the Rfam family "Bacterial small subunit ribosomal RNA", at positions 28 to 507 of the family's 1533-position model. The record is from RNAcentral.